RNAcentral lists this ribosomal RNA (1071 nucleotides) under Triticum aestivum (bread wheat). RNAcentral describes it as "partial small subunit ribosomal RNA". The record is from RNAcentral. Lineage: Eukaryota; Viridiplantae; Streptophyta; Magnoliopsida; Poales; Poaceae.
AUGUUUUGCAACGAAGGUAUUGCAAACCCUACACUAAGACACUUUGGAGCUCUAUUGUUGUCUCAUUUAUUUCUUGUUAGUGAAUUGAACGUGAUUUUUCAACAAAUCCCCGUAGGAUCCGAUAAUGACAUAUUGGAUGAUGAUGACGAAGCGAGCAAGUCUACCGAUAAACUUAGCGAGAUUGAUCCAUUUGACACUGUCUACUCAAACAUUCCAGACAGCACUCACGUCUUGAAACUCGACGAAAAUUUCAAACACUAUAAGGCCAGGAAGUUUGAGUCUGAGACUGACGGAUUCUGCUGUCGCAAUGGCCAGAUCCAGCUUAAGCAACCAGAACCAAUCCCAGAGCUUAUGAGGCUAUGGUCCAGCAUGGAUGCAGAUUCGAGACAUUUUCGGGAGAACAUACGGUUAUUCAACGGGCAUUUUGCCUUCACAACCCUUGGCGUCAGCCUUGAUGAAAACUACACAAACAUGAGGUCUGGGGUGUACACAUUCCGAGCUCACGGCACCAUCUACCAUAAUGUCCAUUCGUUCGGGCCUAGCUCACGUCCAGAACAUCUGCAGUUGUACUUCUAUGACGACGGCCCUAACCUAGAUCAUCGUAAGGCGGCCACCAAGCAAUUAGACCAGGAUGUCAUGAAGAGCUUAGUAGACAUACUCAAAGAAAACCCAUACUCCCAGCAAUUUAGGAGUUUGGGUGCACACAAGGACAACCUCGAUGAUUAUAGGAUAGACCUAAACACCGAUAAGAGGCUUGACCAAAGAAGAUAUAAUAGACCGGUGUCCUCUGAGGUCGCUGAAAUUUGGGUUGAGGGCACUGACCUAGCAAAAAGGUUUGACCGCAGGAUAACACUUUGUGGUAACAACAACGAAAGGCAUAGUAUACGUGUGACCUCAGGGGCAUACGACCCGUUGUCUUAUCCAUUAUUCUAUCCAAUGGGGGAGCUAGGUUGGCAUCCGAAGCUACCCAAACGUAAUGUUGAUUGGGAGGUUGUACAAAAUCCUUGUUUGUGUCAUGAUGAUGAGGAUGAUGCAGGUAUGUCAUUUUGUGUCCCACUUUGUUACAAAUAA